UCCUCCCCCAGGCGUUGACUCAAGAUGAUCUUCCUUUUUGUUAUUUGCUCCUUGAACAGGUUGGACAACUCAUGCAAUUCCCUCUUGGCGCCCACAAAAUUGGUUCCGUUGCAGAAAACAACUCCUCUGGAACACCCCUUUGGGAUACGAAUCUGUGCAGUGCAGCAAUGAACGCAUCCAGCUCAUUGCUUCUCUUCUCCUUCGGUGCUUUCAAUUUGUUGCCAAAUUGAUCAUGGUAGGCCGGUCACAUAAAAAGCUCAAAUCAAAAUUUUUCUUCGAGCUGUCAUGACACAGUCCGAACAUCCUCCCCCAGGCGUUGACUCAAGAUGAAGAAUUAUCCAAGACUGGGAGCGGUGCAAGUUUGUGUAUAGGACGCUUCACACCUGGUCCGGAUAUCAGCAACUCGAAUAAAUCCAUCCGUUCCAGAAUAAACCUUAUGGAUUACUCCCAGCUUCCAAACGUGAGAUGAAAUUGUUUCGAAGUACCUGCACGUACUGCCAUCGCGACAGCCUGUUGAUUGGGAUCUCCUCGUACGUUGGCUCCGGUAUUGCCGUUAAAGGACGACCGAUCUUAAAGUGACCAGGAGUCAGUGGUUCGGGGUCUGUAGCAUCUUCCGAAUGUGCAUACAGAGACCGUGAAUUCAGCAAGGCCUUGAUUUGACAAAGCAGCGUCGAAAACUCCAUCAAGUUGAGUGAAGCAGUGUCAUAAAUCCUUUUCAAAAUUGAGUUGGUGCUCUAUCAUAUCCCUUUACCGGAGCAGCCUUUCUACUGGUUUGCUUGAUUAAAAAAGGGCCGGCUCCAACCCCACCUGUUGGAAUGCUGGAGCGCACAGACGGAAGGUCUCCCAUGAAUUUUUCUGCAGCAGUGGGAUUAACCUUGAAGCAUUUAACGGUUGCUAGCAAAGCAGUUGGUCCGAUGUGCAGAUUCUCGCGGUGGAUGCACCGCAUAUAACUUUGAACCACGGGGCUUCUAUUUGGCAAGAUCCACUGAUGCUUGCUCAGGUACGGUAAUUGCGAAUGGCGCAGACGACCACCAGCUCGCAAUAGCUCACCAUCAAAAAAGGGGUUCAAGGAUUUAAGCUUCUUGGAGGACUCACCUGAUUUCAUUCUCACGAUCUCUUCUGCAAACUCUUGACGCUGUACCACAAAUACUAUUACCUUCAUUGCAUCUUGCAUCUCAGGUAUAAUUGGAAAUGUCGAUAGCACACGCUUCUCCUUAAUUCUUUCUUUCUUGUAAACACAGGUAACAGUUCAAGUUCCACUGUGGUAUUGACGAAAACCGUGGUCUUGAGUUCGGGAAUAUCUUCAUCUGGCAACGGUUCAGGAACAUCCAUUUGGCAUUCUUCACUUCUCAAAAACAUUGGUCCGUUCCACCACAGAUCACUUGUGGCCAAAAUUUCGGCAGAAAGCCCACGGGACACUAUAUCAGCAGGAUUUUCUGCAGUGUUCACAUACUUCCACGAAAAAUAAUUUCCGCUAGAAGUAAUCUCACCAACUCUAUUUCUUACAAACACUUCCAGCUGUUCGAGAUUUUUCUUCAGCCAGGCUAACACGAUUUGGCUUUCUAAACUCAACACUAUUUUCCGGAAGGGUAGUUUCAAAGUUUCCAACACUUUCUUCACUAGACGAUGCAACAACACAGCUGCCAAGAGUUCUUUUCGUGGAACCGUCAGUACUGGCUUCGGCACUAUCUUCAACUUUGCAGUCAAAAUCUUCACCUCAUGGGACUUUCCAAGAACAAAUGAUCUUAUGUAAACGCAUGCUCCGUAAGCUUCCAAGGACGCAUCUCCGAACCCAUUGAUCUCAAAGGCAGUAGCAUCAGAUGACACCACUCGACGAGGGAUUCGGAUCUUCUUCACACCACUUAAGCACUUCAAGAAGUAUUCCCAAUUUUUAACCAAUUCACUGUUUAAUUCUUCGUCCUAAUCGAUCUUCUCACUCCAAACGUUCUUCAACAGCAUCUUCCCAACGACAAUCACCGGUGCAGCUAACCCCAGAGGGUCGAACAUACUUGCAACUAACGACAGUACUUGGCGCUUCGUCGGCUUUGUUAUCUCAGGAAAUGGCUUUGCAACGAAGAUCAGUUCAUCCGAGGACGGGUUCCACAGCAGACCAAGUGUUUUGAUCACUUCGUUCACUCCAGUUCCUUUUAAUGUUCACCAAUUCUUCACGAUCAACUUCUGGUAUAUGCUCGACUAGAUCUGGACAGUUUGAAGCCCACUUGUGCAAAUGAAAUCCACCUGCCUCCAAGAGAUGGAUGAGCUGCGACUGUGCUUCUGCGACAUUAUCUACAUAAAAACAGUUCUUGACAAUUUUGGCUGCCAAUGGAAAAUUGUGCCCUUCAUCGAGUGCUACCUGUAGUAAUACUCUUGUUGCUAGGAAAGGUGCUGAAGCAGUGCCAUAGCUUACGGUUUUUAACUCCAGCACACGAAGUGGACGCGACGGAUCCAAUCUGAAGAAUACUCGAUGAAGACAUCUGUGUACCUUAUCAACACUUGACGAUACAUCUUUGGUACAUCCGUAGUCAGGAAAUAACAUGGAAUUCGGAAUCGAAGAGUUAUCUCAUUCAAAGAACACUGAUUAAGCGAUC
This is a long non-coding RNA of Ochlerotatus camptorhynchus, 2588 nucleotides long. RefSeq lists it as uncharacterized. The transcript is spliced from 3 exons. The record is from RefSeq and is a predicted model, not a curated record. NCBI's taxonomy places the organism in Eukaryota, Metazoa, Arthropoda, Insecta, Diptera, Culicidae.